CCUAUAAAAUCGGGACAUCUGGUCACCCUAGUUGGCAGUCCUACAGCAGUGAAAAGGCAAACUUUCCUACACAUUGCCCUACCACUGUGCCUCACCCUGGCCCUGGAGGGGCCACCUCCAAAGUGAGAGAGGAGUUCAGCCUCUAGGGCCCAUGCCCAU
This 159-nucleotide small RNA is filed under the name Chrysemys picta bellii (western painted turtle). RNAcentral's name for it is "TUC338 (ENSCPBG00000026246.1)". The record is from RNAcentral. Lineage: Eukaryota; Metazoa; Chordata; Testudines; Emydidae.